Molecule: long non-coding RNA, 1400 nt
Organism: Astyanax mexicanus (Mexican tetra)
Lineage: Eukaryota; Metazoa; Chordata; Actinopteri; Characiformes; Acestrorhamphidae
Exons: 3
Source: RefSeq, a predicted model, not a curated record
UAAAAUGUUGACUACUCCCCUAUCCAUGGUGUUUCUGGAACAGCAGCAGUGAAGAUGUAGUGUAUAGUCUUAAAAAAAGAACCUAAAAUGGUCCUUUAUAACCAUGCAAUAAAACAGCAGUGGACCCAUUUGUGGUGGUACAAUUAACCAUCUACAAGAAAUUCUUCAUCCUAGAGAAUAAGCUUUUCAACAGGCAAAUAACCAUUUGAGCAGUAAUCAGAAACAUUUUAAGCAUCUAAAUGGUUAAUUGAGUUGUCUUGGCUUUUUACAGGAUCUUUGCUGUUAUUAAGGACCCCUUUUAGUUCCCUAAACAAAUUUUCAAAAUAUUUAUUUUUAGUAAACAUAAUGUGUGGCUGUAAAUAACCUUUCUUUUUGUAAGUUUAAAUAAGCUCUACAUAAAGAAAAAAGUCCUAUACCAAUUAAAGUAUAGAUCAUUUUUAUAAUACCAUCUUUCCAAGGUAAGUACUAUUUAGGUAACUUUAUUCUGUGACUGUAUAAUGAAAGAAUGCUUCUCGGACACAAUACUCCAAUGUAUUCAAUUCUAGAACCACAGAAAGGAGAGCGACUGCAUGUGAUCAAGAUGUUUUUAAUCUUUACAGAGAAGAAGGACAGAAAGCAAAUGAUCUGAAUUCAGUCAUGCUUCAGUGGGGACUUUUUUAGAGAGCAGGAAGAAAGAGCGUGAAGUUAUAAUAAGAGUGUGUUCAAUAUUAUACCACCUCCUCCAUCACUGAAAGUAACAGAUAAGGGUGCAGAUAUGCGACCUUCUUGAUGUUUCAGACUGCUCAACGGAAGUUAUAGUUUAAUGUUGUUGUCCUGUUGUUUGCCAGACAGCUCUGUGUAUGUGUGUGUGAGUGUGUGUGUGUAUGUGUGUCUGUUUGAGUGUGUGGAUAAGAAAGUUUUGCGGUGUGGUAACAGAUAUCUUCGUUGACAGUCAGUAGGUGCAGUACAGUUAACCUGGUGAUGGUGAAAAGACGCCUUCAGACACUAUUUGCAGAUGUGAGUGUGUGUAUGUGUGUAUGUGUGUGUGUGUCAGAGAGAGAGGGAAAGAGAAAAAACCAAGAGACUGUGUAUAGAGAGGAAAGAGAGUAGUAGUGCUAAACAUGAAAACAAAAAAAAGCUCAAGAGGAGAAGGGUGGGACUACGCACUGCGAAACCGUUAAACAGACAAAAUGACAUGGCUCAGCUCAAAGGCAUAUCGAGACGAAAGUAAGCUCAGGCAUGCUAGCUGAGUUAAAUCCUGGGGUGCUUUUUCAGCAGACACAAAGGUUACAGGGGGGAACAGGAAACCAGCACGUUCCUAUUUCCUGUCAACAGCAGCCUUGAGAGAUGUUAGGAGGGAAGUGCAGGAGUUUUCGGGAGGAGAAAAGGAUUGCAUGGGGAGACGGUGGUGACCAUUCUGG